CCAUGGGAUGCUGAGUGGACUGCUGAAUUACACAUGGCGUAAAAGUUCUUGGCCUAAGUUGUGAUCUUGGGAGCAUAAUUGAAGACCUGCUGGUGAAGAUUCUCACACUUGUUGGUUGUGGUCAGUUGGCAUACCUUCUCUCCGGAAUUGUUUACAGAUGACAGACUGAAUACUGUCCAUGUCGGCAUAGUCCAGGUCCAGAUGUUUUCCGUACAGAAGGAACUUAGUGCUGUAGCCCAGAAGAUGGACUGUGCAGGGUUCUUAGCUGAAUGAAGCAGUGGUAGUGCUGAAUUGGUACUUCAUUCUCUCUGGAAUAGUCCCUUAUGGUCUUUUGGAUCUGAACACUGGCAUCACUGGUAAUGGAACGAGGUUGAACAUAACUUAUUGGCAGUUUGGAGGACCAAGACCAGUUUUUGGGAGGUGUUGUUUUCCACCACCGGACAGAAUCCUGCGUGCGGCCUGUUGUUGUAAGAGGUGUCGGUCUCGAUGUGGACUUCGUUUCCUAGACCGAGAAGUUGGUUGACACGCUGGACAUACCGCUGAUUGUCGAUCAUCGAUGCUACAUUGAUUUCCUCCACUCUGUCACACAUUUGAUUGAGUUUCCGCUGCAUACCAUGGCUGUCAGGUGGAUUUGUGUUGAGGCAGCACAUCAGGAAUCGUGCAUUAGACAUUCCCAUCUUAGACUUGGUGAGGGCCAGUACCAGUCCGUCAUCGAGGGCACCAGAUUCUGAUCUUCGUGUCUUGACAGUUGUGUAGAGCUGCAUGUCUGGCUUGGCAGGUUACAGUUUGGUUGGGAGGAUGAGAUCUUCACUGGACAUGCACACAGCAUCCCAGUAUUCGUCAAGACUUGGACAGUCCCACUCUGUGUUUUGGUCACUUGUACUCGAACCAGCAGGUCCAUCUGUAUCGGAGGGCACCAGCUCGGACUUAAGAAUGUUGAGGGAAAUAGGUUGUAAAAGAAGAUGGACAGAUGAAGAGGAAGAUGAACUGUUGGAAGCCUUUGCGAUGCAGAUUUAAAAAAAUCUAAUGUGUCCACAAAGCAAUUUGAUAUGCACAGAUAAAAUAUAAAACAUUACGUGGCCAGCCAGAAGCAGUAAUAAGAUCCAAAAUGAACAGCAUCAUUUUAGGAAAAGUUCGAAAAACAAGGAUAAACUUCAAAUGGAGACUUUUACAGGAUUAUGAGAAUUAUUUCGUCUAUGCUAAGGUGAAGUUUCCUGAUCAACAUUUUCGUAAAUAUAAAAAUAGAGAAAGAAAGGAAGAAAGAGCACAUAAAACAAAGGGGGCAUGGAACACAAUCUUAGGUUUACAAAAGACUUUUUUAAUACACUAAUACAAUCAUAAUUUAUCAUAAAUAUUUUCCCAGUAUCUCUCAAACUCCCUAUACCUGCAGUUUUUCAACAACAAAAGUUUUUCAACUGUAAUUAUAUCAAUGAUAUUUUUUGGGGAUGCAUCUAUACUUAAUUUACUUAUACUUGAGAAUUCACGGAAAUGAAUAUAUUGCUUUAUCAUCAGAAUUAUCAAAUUUUUCACCUUGUGUAUAUUCUUAUUAGCAAAUUUUCCAAAAAGAAUUGCCUGUCUAUCAAAACUAAUAUGCCUGUCCAGUUUUUUGCAAAGCCAUUCUUCAAUUCCAUACCAGAUCUCUUUCACACAUGGCUAUUCUACAAAUAUGUGAUCAUUAGUUUUAAAAUCCCUCUUGCAAAAUGUGCAAAUUGGGGAAUCAACAAUUCUAUAAAGUUUAUGUAAAUAAUAGUUAUAUGGAAAUAUUCUGUGCAAGAUUUGAAACUGUAUCCAUUGCAAUUUAGAUUCUUGAGUUGUUUUAAAAGGAAGUUCAAUUAUAUUUUUCCAUUCUAGCUCUGAAGAACCUUCUUCUGUUUCUUCCCAUGUUGAUAUAGAUUUAAUUUUGGUUGCUUUAUGGCUUAUCAAUUGCUUAUACAUAUUUUACAACCCUUUUUAUCUUUGAAAUAUAUUGAAAUAGUAGAGGGAAUAAUCUAUACAAAAGUGGUUCUGUAGUCCUUGUAUUGUCUUGUAUAAUGACUUGUCUUUGUUGGAUUGCUUUCUUUAGUGCUGCAUAUUGUACAAAAUUCAUUUUAACUUUCAAAACAUUUUGUAUAUAAUCAAGUUACUGUUUUCAUGAAGUAGAUCAUAAAUGAAUACAAUCUCUAAAUCAUGCAGACUUCUAAACAAUACUGAUAUUCCACCAAUAGUAAUAUUUGGAUUAUAACAAAUAUGUUCACAAUAAAAAAUCUGGGUUGAUUUUAUCUUUUGCAGAAUUUAUAUUUGACCAGCUCUGAAACACAUCUAUCCAAAAAUUGUUUGUUAUUUUUACUCUUAAAUUAUUGAUAUAAUCUAUUCCAAAUACCUAUACAAGUCAUUAGUUCUGCCCCAGUAGUUUUCUCCAUUUUGCAUUUGAAUGUAGAAUACGUCAAAUCCAUGUAGCUUUAAGAGCAGUGAUAAAUUCUUUAUAGUCAACCAUUUUAAUACCCCCAUCAGCAUAUUCUUGAAUUAUGACAUUUUUCUUUACUUUAUGAGUUUUGUUAUUCCAAAGAAAGUUAUAUAAAUCACUUUCAAAAUCACAAAUGGUUUCUUCUUUAGGAUUUGGAAUUGUAAGUAUCAAAUGAUUUAAUUUUGGUAUCAGUAAUGUCUUUAUUACUGUUAACCUUCCUAAAGGAGUAAGUCUUCUAUUAUUCCAAUGCAUCAUAACUUUAUUUACUUCCUUUAAUUUAGUCUUAUAAUUCAAUUCUACCAUUUCUUGUAAAUUAAUACAAAAUUUUAUUCCUAAUAAAUCAAAUGUUCUAUUGUUGCAAUCAAAUUUCCACCUUGCAUGAUGGAAAAUGUUCUUUGAAAAUUUUUUGCUACCUAUCCAAAUCAUUUUUGUCUUUAAAAAUUUCAUCUUUAGACCUAAAAUUAUUGCAAAGUAAUCUAGGACUAUUAAUGCCACCCAUGGAAGUGGGAGACCCAUCUAAAAUAAUUAAGGCGUCAUCUGCAUAUUGAGAUAUCUGAUAUUCUUCCCCAUCAAUAGUAAUGCCUUUAAUAUCUUUGUUUUUGCGUAUUAGAAUACCAAAUAUUUCAACACAUAAAAGAAAUAAGUAAGGAAGAUAUAGGAUCGCCCUGCCUACAGUCCCGUUCUGGACUGAAGUAUUGUUACACAAUUCCAUUUUGAAUGACACAUAAAAUAAUUAUAUCCAGUUUUGAAUAGAAAUACCAAAAAUUUAAAAAAUAAUGUUUCUUGAAUAAAUUUCCAGGAGACCGUAUCGAAAGCCUUUUCAAAAUUGAUAAGCAUCAGAAGCCCCAGUAUUUGUUGGAUUCUGUAUAAUGCAUGAUAUCAUAAAUUAAUCUUAUAUACUCACCAAUAUCUCUACCUUUAAUAAAUCCAGUUUGAUGUGUAUGUAUUAAUAUAUUAGAUUUUUAAUCCAGCCAUUAUUAUCGAACAUUUAUUACGCUAUACUGCUUUCUGUGCCACCUAUCUUUAUAUUUUCUAGUUACGUUUUGCGGGCUGUCAGCAAAAUAUAUUUGCUGUUUUUGUUUUUAUUUGAGAAAUGAUUUGAUUGAGGUGCAGUGAAUGCUUAUUUUUUUCUGCAGUUUGAUAGUAGAGCAGAAAAAUAUUGUAUUAACGGAUCUGUGUCAAUAUUUUCUGUAUACAUGUAUGUUUGUCAAGCUUGAAUGAACGAGCCAAUCAGUUCAUUGUGCAUAAAUGGUUCGGUGGGUAGUAUCGAACGUGGUCAUUCUCUAGCCGUCAACCAAGACGAACACAUGUUGAAACUUCAAAAUAUAAUUGAUAUUUUGCAUAUAUAUUAUCUCGCCCAGUUUCAGAGAUUUUUCCCAUGGGGUUUUAACUCUGUUUUCCCCUGGGUUUGAUACUUUAUAAGGGCUAUGUUCAUUAAAUAUAAAAUCGUUGAUUGUCCAUUUUCCUCUUGUUUGAAGAGAUGUAAUUCUUUAGAUGUGAUAUAGGUAACAAGAAUGUUACAUAAGUAUUCAUGUACUCUGGUAUUAUGUGUUUUAUACGUGUACCUUUUGUAGGUGUGCAUGUGUUGUGGCUAAUUUCGUGUUUUUAUGCAGUGUAAACAUUUUCGGGUUUAUUAAGUAUUUAUCAGACAGGGAAAAAAUCCUUUGCGUUGGAAUUUGUGUACCCUCUUCAGUUAUUCUACUGUUAAAAAUCUUGAAAAUAUUUCUCCUUUUACAUUAUAUAACCUUAAGAUUUGGUGAAAUACUUCAGCAUCAUUUUUAAAGAUAUGAGAAUCUCAUUGUUUUUUGUUUUUUUUACAAGAGGAUUAUAGAAUUAAAUAACUUGUGAACACAUCAAUGAUACGUUUUAAAAUAUUGAAUCCCAGGGGGGGGG
Long non-coding RNA from Ostrea edulis (European flat oyster), 4336 nucleotides. RefSeq lists it as uncharacterized. The transcript has 5 exons. The record is from RefSeq and is a predicted model, not a curated record. Lineage: Eukaryota; Metazoa; Mollusca; Bivalvia; Ostreida; Ostreidae.